CUUCCGCCCCGGGCUUCCGCUCCGCUGCUCUUUGCGCUCCAUCCCGCCUGGCUUGGCCCUUGCGGACGGCGCUGGACUCCUCCGCACCGGCCUCCCGCGGCGUGUCACAAUAGACCCCCCGACCGCCGCGCACCCCGCGUUCUUGGAGGUCAGUAGCUGUCAAAGGCUUAUUAGGAACUGCGUUCGUAGCCGGCCUUGCCUCUGCGGGGUGGUAUCUCUACAGUGAAGGCAUGAUUCCACCAAACCUCAUUCCAUCAAACCUCAUUCCAUCAAACCUGUUCCCUUUUGGUUGAGAGCCUGCAUUCAUCUGGAUUUCAGCUGUCCUUCAAAAUAAACCAACAGCAUGGCA
This is a long non-coding RNA of Heteronotia binoei (common prickly gecko), 349 nucleotides long. RefSeq lists it as uncharacterized. NCBI's taxonomy places the organism in Eukaryota, Metazoa, Chordata, Lepidosauria, Squamata, Gekkonidae. The transcript has 3 exons. The record is from RefSeq and is a predicted model, not a curated record.